CCGUAGAGGAUGAUCAGUCACACUGGAACUGAGACACGGUCCAGACUCCUACGGGAGGCAGCAGUGGGGAAUAUUGGACAAUGGGCGAAAGCCUGUCCAGCCAUGCCGCGUGUGUGAAGAAGGUCUUCGGACUGUAAAGCACUUUUGUUGGGAGGAAGGGCAUUAACCUAAUACGUUAGUGCUUUGACGUUACCGACAGAAUAAGCACCGGCUAACUCUGUGCCAGCGCCGCGGUAAUUUCAGAGGGUGCAAGCGUUAAUCGGAAUUACUGGGCGUAAAGCGCGCGUAGGUGGUUUGUUAAGUUGAAUGUGAAACCCCGGGCUCAACCCUGGGAACUGCAUCCAAAACUGGCAAGCUAGAGUAUGGUAGAGGGUGGUGGAAUUUCCUGUGUAGCGGUGAAAUGCGUAGAUAUAGGAAGGAACACCAGUGGCGAAGGCGACCACCGGACUGAUACUGACACUGAGGUGCGAAAGCGUUAGGGGAGCAAACAGGAUUAGAUACCCUGGUAGUCCACGCCGAAACGAUGUCAACUAGCCGUUGGGAGUCUUGAACUCUUAGUGGCGCAGCUAACGCAUUAAGUUGACCGCCUGGGGAGUACGGNCGCAAGGUUAAAACUCAAAUGAAUUGACGGGGGCCCGCCAAGCGGUGGAGCAUGUGGUUUAAUUCGAAGCAACGCGAAGAACCUUACCAGGCCUUGACAUCCAAUGAACUUUCUAGAGAUAGAUUGGUGCCUUCGGGAACAUUGNGACAGGUGCUGCAUGCUCCU
This 766-nucleotide ribosomal RNA is filed under the name Pseudomonas syringae. RNAcentral's name for it is "bacterial SSU rRNA". It matches the Rfam family "Bacterial small subunit ribosomal RNA", at positions 292 to 1052 of the family's 1533-position model. Lineage: Bacteria; Pseudomonadati; Pseudomonadota; Gammaproteobacteria; Pseudomonadales; Pseudomonadaceae. The record is from RNAcentral.